UACGUAGGGCGCGAGCGUUGUCCGGAAUUAUUGGGCGUAAAGAGCUCGUAGGCGGCUUGUCACGUCGGGUGUGAAAGCCCGGGGCUUAACCCCGGGUCUGCAUUCGAUACGGGCUAGCUAGAGUGUGGUAGGGGAGAUCGGAAUUCCUGGUGUAGCGGUGAAAUGCGCAGAUAUCAGGAGGAACACCGGUGGCGAAGGCGGAUCUCUGGGCAUUAACUGACGCUGAGGAGCGAAAGCAUGGGGAGCGAACAGG
This 253-nucleotide ribosomal RNA is filed under the name uncultured bacterium. RNAcentral's name for it is "partial 16S ribosomal RNA". It matches the Rfam family "Bacterial small subunit ribosomal RNA", at positions 524 to 776 of the family's 1533-position model. The record is from RNAcentral.